This 483-nucleotide ribosomal RNA is filed under the name uncultured bacterium. RNAcentral describes it as "partial 16S ribosomal RNA". It matches the Rfam family "Bacterial small subunit ribosomal RNA", at positions 28 to 507 of the family's 1533-position model. The record is from RNAcentral.
GACGAACGCUGGCGGCGUGCUUAACACAUGCAAGUCGAACGCUGAAGCUCAGCUUUUGUUGGGAGGAUGAGUGGCGAACGGGUGAGUAACACGUGAGUAACCUGCCCCCUUCUUUGGGAUAACGCCCGGAAACGGGUGCUAAUACUGGAUAUUCACUGGUCUUCGCAUGGGGGUUGGUGGAAAGGGUUUUUCUGGUUGGGGAUGGGCUCGCGGCCUAUCAGCUUGUUGGUGGGGUGAUGGCCUACCAAGGCUUUGACGGGUAGCCGGCCUGAGAGGGUGACCGGUCACAUUGGGACUGAGAUACGGCCCAGACUCCUACGGGAGGCAGCAGUGGGGAAUAUUGCACAAUGGGCGCAAGCCUGAUGCAGCGACGCCGCGUGAGGGAUGGAGGCCUUCGGGUUGUGAACCUCUUUCGCUCAUGGUCAAGCCGCAACAAUGGUUGUGGUGAGGGUAGUGGGUAAAGAAGCGCCGGCUAACUACGUG